GCUUACAGCCAUACCACCCUGAGCAUGUCUGAUCCCGGAAGCUAAGCGGGUCGAGCCUGGUUAGUAUUUGGAUGUCAGACCUCUUGGUAAUGCCAGGUGCUGUAUGCU
This 108-nucleotide ribosomal RNA is filed under the name Oreochromis niloticus (Nile tilapia). Lineage: Eukaryota; Metazoa; Chordata; Actinopteri; Cichliformes; Cichlidae. The record is from RNAcentral.